CGCGUGCACUGGCUCGGCUGGGUCUUUCCUUCUGGAGAACCGCAUGCCCUUCACUGGGUGUACCGGGGAACCAGGACUUUUACUCUGAACAAAUUAGAUCGCUUAAAGAAGGCCUAUGCUCGAAUACAUUAGCAUGGAAUAAUAGAAUAGGACGUGUGGUUCUAUUUUGUUGGUUUCUAGGACCGCCGUAAUGAUUAAUAGGGACAGUCGGGGGCAUCAGUAUUCAAUUGUCAGAGGUGAAAUUCUUGGAUUUAUUGAAGACUAACUACUGCGAAAGCAUUUGCCAAGGAUGUUUUCAUUAAUCAGGAACGAAAGUUAGGGGAUCGAAGACGAUCAGAUACCGUCGUAGUCUUAACCAUAAACUAUGCCGAUUAGGGAUCGGACGGCGUUAUUUUUUGACCCGUUCGGCACCUUACGAUAAAUCAAAAUGUUUAGGCUCCUAGGGGAGUAUGGUCGCAAGGCUGAAACUUAAAGAAAUUGACGGAAGGGCACCACCAGGGGUGGAGCCUGCGGCUUAAUUUGACUCAACACGGGGAAACUCACCAGGUCCAGACACGAUGAGGAUUGACAGAUUGAGAGCUCUUUCUUGAUUUCGUAGGUGGUAGUGCAUGGCCGUUCUUAGUUGGUGGAGUGAUUUGUCUGCUUAAUUGCGAUAACGAACGAGACCUUAACCUGCUAAAUAGCCCGUAUUGCUUUGGCAGUACGCCGGCUUCUUAGAGGGACUAUCGG
This 729-nucleotide ribosomal RNA is filed under the name uncultured eukaryote. Its description in RNAcentral is "SSU rRNA". It matches the Rfam family "Eukaryotic small subunit ribosomal RNA", at positions 672 to 1426 of the family's 1831-position model. The record is from RNAcentral.